Molecule: long non-coding RNA, 694 nt
Filed under: Homo sapiens (human)
Lineage: Eukaryota; Metazoa; Chordata; Mammalia; Primates; Hominidae
Description: non-protein coding lnc-WDR1-10:1
Source: RNAcentral
GGAUAGUUCAUCCAGAAGGGAAUCUCAAAAGGUGAUUCACCUUUUCUAACCAACCUUCUAUUACCAAAUGGAGAUGCCAAUAAGGCUGAGAACAAUGGGGACACUGAAAUGAAGAACCGCCUGUAGAGCCAGGAGGUAGAGAAGGUACAUGCCUGCACUGACCUCAUCGACUCCCCAUAGACUCCAGGCAUAAAAAUGUGAACUUCCCCACUUUCACCGUCAAAGACCAGAUCUCAUGCAAGAGCCCCAUUCUGAAAGCUAUGGGGAGAGUGGCUCUUCCAGGAUGCAUGGUCUUGUCACACAAUGUCUGCUGGUGUUGGAACUGAAAAAACUUGUACACAGAUAUGAGCAGAGAAGCAAGGUCACUCACCAGGACUUUAAACAUGAGAUGUCAGAUGCUUUGGAAGUAGAAAGCAAGUCAAUAAAGCCCAGAAUGUCAUCACCAGGAAUUGGUAGGAGAUAGUCAUGAGCUGAUGAAUGUGCACAUCAGAUCCCCACACACCUAACAGGCCACCUUAAUACAACAACCUGAGUGGUUUAUGGGCAAUCAGCCUGCUGCUACAGAGGCAUUAACCACUUCUCAGGAGGUAGACCCUGACACAUGUAGCAUUAGUCACAUUGACAGACUCAUCUGGUAGACAAAGGUACUGAAGACAAUCUGCUUUUGCUGUGGUAUGAAAUUUUCUAUCACCUA